AUCCUCUGGGAAUCCCUUCCCAAAACUUGGGUUUGGAGAAGCCAAAUUCCAUUUACAAUCAUGAGCGCCUUCUAAAGAGGCUGAGGGGUUAUUGGUGGAUUUUGUCCUGCAGGAUGGGAUUGCGUAUGCAGAUAUGACCCAGGAGCUGCCUUUAGGUGCAAGGGCUAAAAGGAGCUGAAUCCCUCAAGCGAAAACAGGAUGGAGGUACUGUGGAGUAAGACAAGAGGUUUUAUACAGAAGGGGGUAAGGAGGAGGAAUUUAAAAUGAAGAAAUGUUGGAAUCAGCGAGGAACAUGAGCCCAGAGGCUCUGGGAGAGGCGAAGUGUCUUGGUGGUGGUUUCGACUAUAUCCGCUAAGAAAACGCUCACGCUUGUGUCUAAGGAAAAAUGCAUGCUGGUGUAGCAUUGGGUGUGAUAGCUAAGCCUGAAAGCAGCCUACUUGUUCAUCAGGAGGAGGAGGGAUAAAUCGUGGAGUAUUCUUACAGUGGAAUAUGCUAGACAGCGACCCCGGAAUAAACCAUAUUGGAUGGGAAAAGAGCAGGGUAAAGAAUGUUAUAUACAGUCUGAUGUCAAUCAUGUGAAGUUAAAAACAUGGAAUACGAUCAUCUACACUGUUGAUUGCUACAUAUGUAAGUAAAAGUAUAAAACCAAGCAUGAGAAUAAUCACCAGUUUCUAGAGGAGUUACCUACCAGAGGAGAAGAAACACCAACUUCAAGGAGGGUUGCUCUGAAACCUUGAUGAUGUCUGCGUGUCUGUAAUGUUUUUAUUUAUGUGAACAAAUGUAGGAGUUCCCGUCGUGGCUCAGUGGUUAAUGAACCCGACUAGUAUCCAUGGGUUCUUGGGUUCAAUUCCCUGCCUUGCUCAUUGGGUUAAGGAUCCGGCGUUGCUGUGAGCUGUGGUGUAGGUUGCAGACCCGGCUCAGACCCCGUGUUGCUGUGGCUGUGGCACAGGCCUGCAGCUGUAGCUCUGAUUCGACCCCUAGCCUGGGAACCUCCAUAUGCUACAGGUGGGACCCUAAAAAGACCAAAAAAAAAAAAGUAUCCAAAGAAGCACGGCAUAGGUUAAGAUUUAGGAAGUCUGUGUGGUGGGCACAUCAACCCUCAUUAUGUGAUUAGCUUUUUCUGCCUGUACAUUUUAAAGAUCUCACGACUUGAAUUUUCUCAGUUUUAAUCCCAAAGGAAUAGUAACUCUAUACACAAGGAUUUAUAUGUGUAAUUUUUGUGGCUACCACAGAAAGGAGCAGAGUUCCACACUGGUCAGCGCAGUGGGAAAAAGUGACUUGAAUGAAGUGACAAGAUACUCAAAAACCUCCCCAAUUCAGCAGAUGGGGGAACCUGCAGCCUGGGUGCCCGGGAGGUGUGCGAACCAUUCUAACCUCCACCCCCAGAGUGGAUUUCCACAGGGCACGGAAGGGGGACUUGGAGCAGAUCUUGCCAGGCUAGGGGUCCAAUCGGAGCUGUAGCCGCCGGCCCGCACCACAGCCAUAGCCUCAGCAACACCAGAUCCGAGCCACGUCUGCCACCCACACCACAGCUCACUGCAACGCCAGAUCAUUAACCCAGGGAUCAAACAUGUAACCUCAUGGUUCCUAGUCAGAUUUGUUAACCACUGAGCCAUGAUGGGAACUCCUGAAGACAAUCUUUGAUAUCAUCAACUAAGGUGUCCUUUGGACAUAUCCAAUUCCAGAAUCUUCCCCAAAGGUCCUUCUGGGACCAGAGAAUGAGAUGGGUGCAGAGUAAGUAAGUCAAGCACAUGAAAAAUAAGGUCUAUUUCACAUAUUAUCUAGUAAUUUGUUAAGGACUGGAGUUUACAGUUUGGGGGGGUUCAUUUUUUUUUGUUUUUUGUUUUUUUUUGGCCUUUCUGGCAGCAUGCUGAAGUUCCCCGGCCAGGGAUCAGACCUGCGCCACAGUAGUAAUCAGAGCUACAGCAGUGACCAGGCCAGGUCCUUAACCA
This 1952-nucleotide long non-coding RNA is filed under the name Sus scrofa (pig). Its description in RNAcentral is "lncRNA (ENSSSCG00055004801.1)". The record is from RNAcentral. Lineage: Eukaryota; Metazoa; Chordata; Mammalia; Artiodactyla; Suidae.